This 612-nucleotide ribosomal RNA is filed under the name uncultured bacterium. RNAcentral describes it as "bacterial SSU rRNA". It matches the Rfam family "Bacterial small subunit ribosomal RNA", at positions 231 to 859 of the family's 1533-position model. The record is from RNAcentral.
CUGCGGCGGAUUAGCUAGUUGGUGGGGUAACGGCCUACCAAGGCGAUGAUCCGUAGGGGGCGUGAGAGCGUGGCCCCCCACACUGGCACUGAGACACGGGCCAGACUCCUACGGGAGGCAGCAGUGAGGAAUAUUGCACAAUGGGCGCAAGCCUGAUGCAGCAACGCCGCGUGAGGGACGAAGGCCUUCGGGUCGUAAACCUCUUUUCUGGGGGACGAGUAAGGACGGUACCCCAGGAAUAAGUCUCGGCUAACUACGUGCCAGCAGCCGCGGUAAAACGUAGGAGGCGAGCGUUAUCCGGAUUUACUGGGCGUAAAGCGUACGCAGGUGGCUUCGUGAGUCGGACAUGAAAGCUCCUGGCUUAACUGGGAGAGGUUGUUCGAUACUGCGGGGCUUGAGGUUGGGAGAGGGACGUGGAAUUCCCGGUGUAGUGGUGGAAUGCGUAGAUAUCGGGAGGAACACCAGUGGCGCAAGCGGCGUCCUGGCCCACACCUGACGCUGAGGUACGAAAGCGUGGGUAGCAAACAGGAUUAGAUACCCUGGUAGUCCACGCUGUAAACGAUGUCAACUGGGUGUCGGUAGUUUUACACUAUCGGUGCCGAAGCCAACGCG